CAACCUACCCUUCAGAGGGGGACAACAGUUGGAAACGACUGCUAAUACCGCAUACGAUCUAACCUCGGCAUCGAGGAUGGAUGAAAGGUGGCCUCUAUUUAUAAGCUAUCACUGAAGGAGGGGAUUGCGUCUGAUUAGCUAGUUGGAGGGGUAACGGCCCACCAAGGCGAUGAUCAGUAGCCGGUCUGAGAGGAUGAACGGCCACAUUGGGACUGAGACACGGCCCAG
Molecule: ribosomal RNA, 228 nt
Filed under: uncultured bacterium
Lineage: Bacteria
Description: partial 16S ribosomal RNA
Rfam family: Bacterial small subunit ribosomal RNA
Source: RNAcentral